GUCGAGGCCCUGGAGACAGGCCAUCUCGAGCUCUGCCCUGUCUCGGGCGUUCCCUUAAAUUCUGGGAACACCACCACGAGGGGCUGCUGUUUAGACCCAGCCCGUGGGUGGGGACACUGAGCUGGCAGAGUUCAAGUGGCUUUCUCAGACCCUAAGCUGUUAGCUGAUGGACCCAGGAUUAGAAAACAGUUGGAUCUGACCCCAAAGUCCAUGCUCUUUCCCCAGCACCAUACUCCUGUUCCAUAUCCAUUUUACAGAAGGGAAAACUGAGGCCCAGGGCGGGCUGCUGAGACAACCAGGCUAAUUGAUGACAACUGGUUGCGUCGAUCGAGUUGCUACUAAGCAUCGGGCACAAACUGUGUCUGAUUCUUACCCCAUCCUCCGGCCAAGGUACUGAUGCUGAUGUGCCCAUUUCACAGACGAAGAAAGCAAGCACAGAGAGGUUCCAUAACUCACCCAAACUCACACAGCAAGUGAGCCACAGGGUCGGAAUCGGAGCCCAGCCAGUAGGACUCGUGCCCUCGUACAAAGCCGGUGUGAACCAGCUGACACCGAGGCUCCUACGAGGAGCGGGACGAGAUGGCGGCAAGGAGCGGGUCGUGGCAUGGGGGGGGCCCUGGCAGACUGAAAUGACGACAUCAGGGUCACUGGCCGAGCGGGGUUGGCCUUUUUCCUUUUUCGUAAGACAAGCACCCUCUGCUUUGACUGCCAUAGCCCAGGCUCUUCUUGGAAACCACCCUGGCCCACCCAGCCCCGACAGGAGGAGCUGGACCUGGGCCUCUCCUGGACUGCAGCUGCCUCCCCUGGCUGGGGAGGGCGUGUCCUGCCCACCCUGUCUGCAAGGCAGCCUGCCCAGGACGGCCAGCCCCCACCCAGCUGACCGCACAGCUGUCCUGCAGGCUGUGCGCCAGCCCUCGGAGGAGCUGCCAGUCCUUCAGCCUCCAAGGCCCUUCUCCGUCCUCCAGGCCCUUCUCCGUCCUCCAGGCCCUUCUCCGUCCUCCAGGCCCUUCUGCGUCCUCCAGGCCCUUCUGCAUCCUCCAGGCCCUUCUCCGUCCUCCAGGCCCUUCUGCAUCCUCCAGGCCUUUCUCCGUCCUCCGUCCUUCAGGCCCUUCUCCAUCCUCCAGGCCCUUCUCCGUCCUCCAGGCCCUUCUCCGUCCUCCAGGCCCUUCUCCGUCCUCCAGGCCCUUCUGCAUCCUCCAGGCCCUUCUCCAUCCUCCAGGCCUUUCUCCAUCCUCCAGGCCCUUCUCCAUCCUCCAGGCCCUUCUCUGUCCUCAAGGCACUUCUGCGUCCUUGGCUGGAGUGGGGAGUCAAUACCCUGAAACAGUCGCUCUGGCAGCCCAGGGUGUCAGCAAUGGCCAAGCUGGUCAGCAGUGAUGGGCGGGGCUCUGGAGCCACUCCCCCCCAGGCCAUGCUGCUCUGCCCGCCCCCUCAGCUGUGUCCAUAGGGCCUCAGGGGCCUGGUGGACUGAAGGUGAGCCAGAGAGGAAGUGCUCCAGAACUCAGGGGCAAGGAGGCCUCCUAAUGGCCCUCUGGGGCUCCGCUCAAAGCUUUAACGCUGCUAAUGGGACACUGGUGCUCAACAGUCCCAAUGCCUGCCCUUUCACUGGCCCCCACGAUGCUCUGUUAGUCCCCACGGUGCCUGUGUGGAGGAAUUCCUACCAUCCCCACAUUACAGGGGAGAUCACUGGGGCUCAGAGAGGUGAAGCAACCCUCCCAAGGUCACACAGCCAUGCGGUAGACCUGGGUGCUGAUCACGGAACCACACAACCAGGCCCUGGGUUGUGGAGUGGGGGUCGGGGGUGGAAAUCGCAAAGGUGCCCAGUGGGAGGCUGGGAUCACAUGGUCACGAAGAUGAGAUGCUCUGGGCUAGAAGGGAGCCCCACGAGGGGCUGGGGGCCCCACCCAGCGUCCUCCCGAUGGGUGUGCACCCCUUCAAUGACAGGACCCCUUCCCACACACCCGCCAGGGCAGCUGCCCGGCCGGUUGCAUGGACGUCUCUGCUUCUGUUGGUGGGCCCUCACCUCACGUUUCCCCUGCCGCCUGGGCCCCCACGGCCGCCUCAGCCUCUCAGCCUAGACCCAGGGCCGACCUCCCAACACCCAUGCUGGGGCAGAUCCUGGUGCCUCUCUGGAAACGCUCCCCAUUUUUAUGAUCAACAGGAGCCUGAUCUCCUGUCCCUGACCUUGAAACUCAGGUGGGACUGAACCUCAAAGGGGGGCCCUGAUUGGCUGAGCCUGCCCCUCUUCCACGGUGGAGGGUUCAAGGUGGGUCCUUUAAGCAACGAGAGCCGAGUCCACGUGAAGGGCCACUUGCCAGAGCUGUUGGGAAGACGUGUUUCUUCCUCCUGCCCAGAAAGGCUCUUUCUUCCCUCCGUGUGAGAACCAGGAAAAUCCACGACUGGUAGUCACCUGUGACCUUGAGGGGGAAGUCUGCCUUGGAAUGGAGGCACCUGAGGAGCAGAACCAAAGAAGGAGAGAAAGCAAGAUGGUCUCGACCCUGGAUCACGCCAUGCCUGAAGCUGUUAUUCCUCCCUAUCAGCUGAGUGAGCCAGUAGGUCCUCUAUAAUGUUGAAGUCAUCUGGACUCAGGUUUCCAGUGGCUACCUGAGACUUAGAUUGUCGUACAGGGGCCGUGCCCAGCCAGAC
This is a long non-coding RNA of Equus caballus (horse), 2643 nucleotides long. The record is from Ensembl. Lineage: Eukaryota; Metazoa; Chordata; Mammalia; Perissodactyla; Equidae.